GACCACUCUUUUGGAGGAAGCUGGCAGCCAUUUCAUGAGGAGACUCAAGCAGCCUAGGAGAGGUGGCAGUGGUGAAGAACUGAGGCUUCCUGCUGUCAGCUAGUGAGGAACUGAGGCCUCUUCACACACGGAUGUGAGUGAACUACCCAGGAGAUGUGUCCUCCAGCCCCAGGCCUUCAGAGGACCGCAGCUCUCGUCAAAAGCUUAAUGCAACCUCCUGAGAGUCCCUGAACUACAGCCAUCCUGCUAAGCUACUCCCAAAUGCCUGACCCCCAGAAACUGUAAUCAGAAAGUAAACCAAAACCAAGACCCAUCCACAUGGCCGUGAACCACCCCCAAGCCACCAAUGGCAGCCCUGACGCAUACCUUGCUUGAUGACGGGUGGCUUGCGGGCGUCGUCCACCACGAACGAGAACAUCUCCUUGUUGGCGCUCACAGGCCGCCUGUGGGAGGCCGGCAGGACCACGGUGGGUCUGGGAAAGGCCUGGGACCAGCUCCUUUGCAUCGGUGCUGGCUGGACACCUUGGUGGAAGGGGAUAUGUGAUGGUGGGGGGGCCUGGUUUGGCUGCUGUGUGGCACGAGGUGGCUGUGGCCCUGGCCAUGGUGCUGGGCCCCUCAUCCAUGGGAAAGAGACCUGCAGGGGCAGACAAGGGUCAGGGGAGGUUAUGACCGGCUGGGAUGGUCUCCAUUUCUUUGUCCCAGCCACAGCAUUGCUGCCCAAGGUCUUGGUUUAUGAGUCACUUCCGGUCGGGCAGGGUGGCACACAGCUAUAAUCCCAACACUUUGGGAGGCCAAAGUGGGAGGCUAGCUAGCUUGAGUUCAGGAGUUCAAGACCAGCCUGGACAACAUGGCAAAACCCUGCCUCACCAAAAAUUCAAAAAUUAGCUGGGCCUUGUGGCCUAUGCCUGUAGUCCCAGCUACUUGAGAGGCUGAGGUGGGAGGAUCACCUGAGCCUAGGAAGUAGAGGCUGCAGUGAGCUGUGAUAGCACCACUGCACUCCAUCCUGGGCGACAGAAUGAGACUCUGUCUCAAAAAUAAACAAACAAAAAAACAAUGAGUCACUUCCCCCAGGAAGCCUUCCUGGACUCUCCUCAAGUUUGGGAUGGGGGUCCUUGCCUGGACCACACGGCACACGAUCACACCACCAUUGAGUGAGUGCAUGCUUUACCCAGGCAUCUUGCCGAAAGAGUCACCUGCAUUAACUCAUUUAAUACACUCAACACUCUGUGAUAUCAACACUCGGAGGACACAGGCCAGGCAAGAACAAGGGACUCUGAACACCCACAGACGUGGUAUUGAUCUGCUGAGUCAGGAGAAUGUCCCCUCUAAGGGAUUAGGGACUUUUCAUCUACCUUACCACUGUAUCCUCAGCCCCUAGAAUAAAUGCUUGGCACAUACCUAGUAGGUCCUCAAAUGUUGGUCAAAAUAACAGAACAAGCCAAUCACUGAGAUUCCAGCCCAGCUCCCUGGGACUCCACAGCCUUUUCUCUUUCUGUCCAUACUGUGGGUCCCUCUAUCCCUCAAAGUUCAGAGCUCUGGGAUUGCAGGGACACUGACUGUCUGAUUAGCCUUUGCUUUUCCACACCAGCACAGCUGAUUCUGGCAGAGGCCCCGGGGAAGAUGCUCCAGCUGCUUUCAGUGGAGAGCAUGUCAAAAUCCAUCUAACCGUGGAUGAGCAAACGUGGAGUGGUGCUGACACCUGGCUUUUGCCGUGGAUUAAUGCUUUAGUGGUGGUUUCUCCCUGGUGCCUAGUGGUUGAAGGUGGCACUGAUGAGCACUAUCACUUAUUGCACCGAGCUUAUUGAUUCCUCACCAUGACCCUUUGUGUGAGGGUUCUCCUUAUUCCUGUUAGAAGUGAGGCUUGGAGAGGUUAAGGGAUUUACCCAGCACAGGCAGUGGUGGACAGGGAACUGGGAUCAAGAUCUGAUGGCCUCUCCUUCUUCUCUCUCUCUCUCUUUCCCCUCCUCUGUCUCCCAAUUGUCUUGGCAGAAAUAAUGCUUUCCAGGUAAGAGCUAAAUUCAAAGGUUUGCUUCCUAGAAUAGAACUCAUCCCUAUUUUCCCAGGGCUCAUGGUUCUCCUUCUGUAGCCCAGAGAGAAGAUGAGCUCAGACACACACAAUGAGGAAAAGGACAGAAUGCUUCCAAAAUCAGAGCUCCAGCAGACAGCACUUCCUAGAACUUCAGCUGGGUUUCAUUGAAAAGGAGGGCUCUCCACUCAGGAUCCUAAUCUCCAAGCUGCAGUCUGUCUACAGCUGCUCAGGGAUCCUAUGCAUUCCCCCUAAGGCUCUUUCUUGGAGUCAGUGAGGAGUGUUCUGGGAAAUCUGGCACCAAACUCCGAUCACCUGGUGAUACAUGGUUUGGCUGUGCCCCACCCAAAUCUCAUCUUGAACUGUAGUUCCCAAAAUCCCCUUAGGACGGACUGGGAGGGACCUGGUGGGAGGUAAUGGAAUCAUGGGGGCAGUUACCUCCAUGCUGCUCUCGUGAUAAUGAGUGACUUCUUGUAAGAUCUGAUGGUUUUAUAAUGGGCUUUCCCCACCCCCUUGCUCUGCACUUCUCCUUGCUGCCGCCAUGUGAGGAAGGACACGUUUGCUUCCCCUUCUGCCAUGAUUGUAAGUUUCCUGAGGCCUCCCCAGCCCUGGGGAACUGUGAGUCAAUUAAACCUGUUCGUUUUUAAAUUA
Molecule: long non-coding RNA, 2677 nt
Organism: Homo sapiens (human)
Lineage: Eukaryota; Metazoa; Chordata; Mammalia; Primates; Hominidae
Exons: 2
Source: RefSeq, a predicted model, not a curated record